CGAGAUGAGUUCUCCCUGACUCCUUGAGGGUCCUGAAGGAACGUUGAAGACGACGACGUUGAUAGGCCGGGUGUGUAAGCGCAGCGAUGCGUUGAGCUAACCGGUACUAAUGAACCGUGAGGCUUAACCUUACAACGCCGAAGCUGUU
RNAcentral lists this ribosomal RNA (148 nucleotides) under Escherichia coli. RNAcentral describes it as "partial 23S ribosomal RNA". The stretch from base 1 to 131 matches the Rfam family "Bacterial large subunit ribosomal RNA", at positions 2800 to 2925 of the family's 2925-position model. Lineage: Bacteria; Pseudomonadati; Pseudomonadota; Gammaproteobacteria; Enterobacterales; Enterobacteriaceae. The record is from RNAcentral.